Molecule: small nucleolar RNA, 135 nt
Filed under: Petromyzon marinus (sea lamprey)
Lineage: Eukaryota; Metazoa; Chordata; Hyperoartia; Petromyzontiformes; Petromyzontidae
Description: Small nucleolar RNA SNORA9 (ENSPMAG00000012927.1)
Rfam family: Small nucleolar RNA SNORA9
About the family: ACA9 is a member of the H/ACA class of snoRNA that guide the sites of modification of uridines to pseudouridines.
Source: RNAcentral
AUGCAAGUCGUCCAGCAAGGGGGGGCACGCUCAUUGCCCUCACCUCUCCUAAAGCGCUUGCCAGAGAAAACCCCGGGGUGGUUUGAGGCCGCGUUCGGCUCCUCCCGGACGCGGUUAUAGAAUCCUCGUACAAAA